GGGCCCGCACAAGCGGUGGAGUAUGUGGUUUAAUUCGAUGCAACGCGAAGAACCUUACCAGGGUUUGACAUCCUGCGAAUCUCUUGGAAACAGGAGAGUGCCUUCGGGAACGCAGUGACAGGUGGUGCAUGGCUGUCGUCAGCUCGUGUCGUGAGAUGUUGGGUUAAGUCCCGCAACGAGCGCAACCCACGUCUUUAGUUGCCAGCAUUUAGUUGGGCACUCUAGAGAGCUGCCGGUGAUAAACCGGAGGAAGGUGUGGAUGACGUCAAGUCAUCAUGCCCCUUACAUCCUGGGCUACACACGUACUACAAUGCUACGGACAAAGGGCAGCAAGUUCGCGAGGACAAGCAAAUCCCAUAAAGCCAGUCUCAGUUCGGAUUGGAGUCUGCAACUCGACUCCAUGAAGCUGGAGUUGCUAG
This 419-nucleotide ribosomal RNA is filed under the name uncultured bacterium. Its description in RNAcentral is "bacterial SSU rRNA". It matches the Rfam family "Bacterial small subunit ribosomal RNA", at positions 917 to 1338 of the family's 1533-position model. The record is from RNAcentral.